Molecule: ribosomal RNA, 484 nt
Filed under: uncultured bacterium
Lineage: Bacteria
Description: partial 16S ribosomal RNA
Rfam family: Bacterial small subunit ribosomal RNA
Source: RNAcentral
AUUGAACGCUGGCGGCAGGCCUAACACAUGCAAGUCGAGCGGAUGAAGGGAGCUUGCUCCUGGAUUCAGCGGCGGACGGGUGAGUAAUGCCUAGGAAUCUGCCUGGUAGUGGGGGAUAACGUCCGGAAACGGGCGCUAAUACCGCAUACGUCCUGAGGGGGAAAGUGGGGGAUCUUCGGACCUCACGCUAUCAGAUGAGCCUAGGUCGGAUUAGCUAGUUGGUGGGGUAAAGGCCUACCAAGGCGACGAUCCGUAACUGGUCUGAGAGGAUGAUCAGUCACACUGGAACUGAGACACGGUCCAGACUCCUACGGGAGGCGGCAGUGGGGAAUAUUGGACAAUGGGCGAAAGCCUGAUCCAGCCAUGCCGCGUGUGUGAAGAAGGUCUUCGGAUUGUAAAGCACUUUAAGUUGGGAGGAAGGGCAGUAAGUUAAUACCUUGCUGUUUUGACGUUACCAACAGAAUAAGCACCGGCUAACUUCGUG